GGCCAAUUAGCUCAGCCAAUUUGAGCGUGGUGCUGAUAACACCAAGGUCCCGGGUUCAAUCCCCGUUUGGUCC
Molecule: transfer RNA, 73 nt
Filed under: Apaloderma vittatum (bar-tailed trogon)
Lineage: Eukaryota; Metazoa; Chordata; Aves; Trogoniformes; Trogonidae
Rfam family: tRNA
About the family: Transfer RNA (tRNA) molecules are approximately 80 nucleotides in length. Their secondary structure includes four short double-helical elements and three loops (D, anti-codon, and T loops). Further hydrogen bonds mediate the characteristic L-shaped molecular structure. tRNAs have two regions of fundamental functional importance: the anti-codon, which is responsible for specific mRNA codon recognition, and the 3' end, to which the tRNAs corresponding amino acid is attached (by aminoacyl-tRNA synthetases). tRNAs cope with the degeneracy of the genetic code in two manners: having more than one tRNA (with a specific anti-codon) for a particular amino acid; and 'wobble' base-pairing, i.e. permitting non-standard base-pairing at the 3rd anti-codon position.
Source: Rfam by way of RNAcentral